CUCUGGUGGAAGCCCGCAGCGAUACUGACG
RNAcentral lists this small nuclear RNA (30 nucleotides) under Arabidopsis thaliana (thale cress). RNAcentral's name for it is "snRNA_02450". Lineage: Eukaryota; Viridiplantae; Streptophyta; Magnoliopsida; Brassicales; Brassicaceae. The record is from RNAcentral.